Molecule: non-coding RNA, 1524 nt
Filed under: Limosilactobacillus panis DSM 6035
Lineage: Bacteria; Bacillati; Bacillota; Bacilli; Lactobacillales; Lactobacillaceae
Description: Lactobacillus panis DSM 6035 Bacterial large subunit ribosomal RNA
Rfam family: Bacterial large subunit ribosomal RNA
Source: Rfam by way of RNAcentral
GGUUAAGUUAUGAAGGGCGCAUGGUGAAUGCCUUGGUACUAGGAGCCGAUGAAGGACGGGACAAACACCGAUAUGCUUCGGGGAGUGGUAAGUGCACUUUGAUCCGGAGAUUUCCGAAUGGGGAAACCCAACCAACUUAGUCGUUGGUUAUCUGACUAGUGAAUUCAUAGCUAGCAGAGGGAAGACGCAGUGAACUGAAACAUCUCAGUAGCUGCAGGAAGAGAAAGAAAAAUCGAUUCCCUGAGUAGCGGCGAGCGAAAGGGGAAGAGCCCAAACCAGUGAGCUUGCUUACUGGGGUUGUAGGACUGAACAAUGGAGUUACCAAAAUGCGACGUAGUCGCAACAGCUGGGAAGCUGUGCCAGAGAGGGUGAUAGCCCCGUAGACGAAACGUCACAUUCUCCGUUCAGGAUCCUGAGUACGGCGGGACACGUGAAACCCCGUUGGAAGCUGCGAGAACCAUCUCGCAAGGCUAAAUACUACCUAGUGACCGAUAGUGAACCAGUACCGUGAGGGAAAGGUGAAAAGUACCCCGGAAGGGGAGUGAAAUAGUUCCUGAAACCAUGUGCCUACAAGCAGUCGGAGCCCGUUAAUGGGUGACGGCGUGCCUCUUGCAGAAUGAACCGGCGAGUUAUGAUUGCAUGCAAGGUUAAGGUAGAAAAACCGGAGCCGUAGCGAAAGCGAGUCUUAAAUGGGCGUAAGAAGUAUGUAGUUAUAGACCCGAAACCAGGUGACCUACCCAUGUCCAGGUUGAAGGUGCGGUAAAGCGCACUGGAGGACCGAACCCGUGUCAGUUGAAAAUGGCUGGGAUGAGGUGUGGGUAGCGGUGAAAUUCCAAACGAACUUGGAGAUAGCUGGUUCUCUCCGAAAUCUCUUUAGGGGGAGCCUUGAGGAAAAGAAUCGUGGAGGUAGAGCUACUGUUUGGACAAGGGGCCCGUCAUGGGUUACCAACUUCAGAUAAACUCCGAAUGCCAUCGAUUUAUCCUCAGGAGUCAGACGAUGAGUGAUAAGAUCCACCGUCGAAAGGGGAACAGCCCAGAUCACCAGUUAAGGUCCCUAAAUAUAUGCUAAGUGGAAAAGGAUGUGGAGUUGCAUAGACAACUAGGAUGUUGGCUCAGAAGCAGCCACCAUUUAAAGAGUGCGUAAUAGCUCACUAGUCGAGUGAUCCUGCGCCGAAAAUGUACCGGGGCUAAGCAUAUUACCGAAACUGUGGAUGUGCACUACGUGCACGUGGUAGGAGAGCGUUCUAAGGGCGGCGAAGUCAGACCGUGAGGACUGGUGGAGCGCUUAGAAGUGAGAAUGCCGGUAUGAGUAGCGAAAGACAGGUGAGAAUCCUGUCCACCGAAUGACUAAGGUUUCCUGGGGAAGGCUCGUCCUCCCAGGGUAAGUCGGGACCUAAGCUGAGGCCGAGAGGCGUAGGCGAUGGAUAACAGGUUGAGAUUCCUGUACCAGUUGAAUGCGUUUGAAUGAUGGAGGGACGCAGGAGGCUAAGCGAACCGCAUGAUUGGAAGAGUGCGGCCAAGCAA